GAUGAACGCUGGCGGCGUGCUUAACACAUGCAAGUCGAACGGAGUAGUUCCGCUGACGAGACUUCGGUCAAAUCUUGGGACUACUUAGUGGCGGACGGGUGAGUAACGCGUGGGUAACCUGCCGUAUGCUGGGGGACAACAGUUGGAAACGACUGCUAAUACCGCAUAAGCGCACAGUACCGCAUGGUACAGUGUGAAAAACUCCGGUGGCAUACGAUGGACCCGCGUCUGAUUAGCUGGUUGGUGAGGUAACGGCCCACCAAGGCGACGAUCAGUAGCCGGCCUGAGAGGGUGAACGGCCACAUUGGGACUGAGACACGGCCCAAACUCCUACGGGAGGCAGCAGUGGGGAAUAUUGCACAAUGGGGGAAACCCUGAUGCAGCGACGCCGCGUGAGUGAAGAAGUAUUUCGGUAUGUAAAGCUCUAUCAGCAGGGAAGAAAAUGACGGUACCUGACUAAGAGGCUCCGGCUAAAUACGUG
This 481-nucleotide ribosomal RNA is filed under the name uncultured bacterium. RNAcentral's name for it is "bacterial SSU rRNA". It matches the Rfam family "Bacterial small subunit ribosomal RNA", at positions 28 to 507 of the family's 1533-position model. The record is from RNAcentral.